AAGACACAAAGGCAGAGUACGUUAAAACCCCUCGAUAAGGAGAACUAAACAAAGUAAUUACUGCCCUCCUGUCUUUGGUUGGGGCGACCGCGGGGGAACAACAAACCCCCACGUGGAACGGGGACCACCCCUAAUGCCAGAGCCACAGCUCUAACAAGCAGAACAUCUGACCAGCAAGAUCCGGCAAAGCCGAUCAACGGACCGAGUUACCCU
This 213-nucleotide ribosomal RNA is filed under the name Microgobius gulosus (clown goby). RNAcentral's name for it is "partial 16S ribosomal RNA". Lineage: Eukaryota; Metazoa; Chordata; Actinopteri; Gobiiformes; Gobiidae. The record is from RNAcentral.